CUGCCCUCCCAGCUCUGUGGCCCCUCAAAUCUAAAGCCUGGAAAACAACGGGCCAGGGACCUUCCAUCCGUGAGGAGUAUCAGAAAACCCGCUGCUCCUCUCGAACCCUCCCUCCUCCGGCAGGAUUAAUGCCGUUCUGCAGGCUCAGCAAGAAUCUCUGGUUACCACGGCAACCUUGCUCAGGGAGGAGAGUGCGGGCCUCACUUGGGAAUGGGAAGCUGGGUUUCCAAGGCAGCGCCGACUUUAGAAUCAGAAAGAAAAAGCUACUGAAAGGCUCCUGUGCCCUUCACCUUGCAUUAUUCCUGUGUUGCCCACCUGACUGUCCCUCGGGGUGGGUAAGGGCUGGCACAGAUGGAAGACCAUGCACACAGCCACCGCUGCCCUUCACUGCUCCUUCCAAGAGAGGAGCUGAGACGAAGAUGGAGGGAGAAUGUGUCCUAGUUCACCUUGUUCCUGAGGCAGGAGUGUUUUGCCGCUUAUGAAGUUUGAUAGUUAGCCAAUGUUUAAGAGUUGAAGAAGAGAAAUAAAUUGCCU
RNAcentral lists this long non-coding RNA (534 nucleotides) under Chinchilla lanigera (long-tailed chinchilla). RNAcentral describes it as "lncRNA (ENSCLAG00000028414.1)". Lineage: Eukaryota; Metazoa; Chordata; Mammalia; Rodentia; Chinchillidae. The record is from RNAcentral.